GCCCUCGUUGCUAAGGACGCGGAUCUGUAGCAGGAAGUCAAAAACUACUUCCGGGUCAGAAGCGUAAAGAAGCAUUCACGUGGAAGAGUUUUGAAAGUAACCAAGGUGAGAGAGCCUGGACGGCUUAAUGCAGCCGCGGAAACGUUACUUUAGAAAGUGGAAGUUUGAGUUUUCUCCGCUCUUUAGGCCGGGUAUCCGCAUGGUUUUGUCUUCAGCCGGUUAGCACGCACGAGCGAGCUGCGCGUGUAGAAACUGUCCGCGUGUUUGUUCAGUUCCAUGUUUAGUUCACUUCAUUCUCAGACGGAUUCCGAUCAAGACGUAGUGUUUGUGUCUGAGAGGUCUGCGUGGCGACGUACUGAGGACAUGACAAUUGACCAGGUGAGGAGAUUGGACCUUCAGAGGGACAUCGACCGGCAGUCGCAGCCCGGGCAACAAACCAGACCUCCGGCCAAAUCUUUUCCUGCUGUGAGGCCAAAAGAGACAAAGAUGGAAGAGAACAACGUAGAGACAAAGAAACGACGCAAGAAAGGAGAAAAAUGUCCAGAUGAAAGCAAAAACUCUACUUCAGAAGACACAAACCACACAGGCGAGGAAGAAGAGAAGAAAAGGAGAGCUGGAAAGAAAGAGAAAGAGGAGGGAAGUGGUGAGAGGAGAGUGAAGAAGAGGAAGAACACUGGCAAAGACAAUGAAGAGGAUGAGAAAGUAUUUAAAGAGGAGAAGAAGGAGAUGAUGAUGGAGGAAACUGCACAGGGUUUUUUAAAUAAAGAUAAAGUAAAGAAAAAGAAACAGAAAAGAGAGAGUUUUCCAAAUGAGGAGGACGAACAAGACCCGCCAAAGAAAGCAAAAAAAAGAAAAAAGCCUGUCUCACCUGAAGAAACAGAGCAAACACAGGGGGGCGCUGCAGAGAAAAAGAAACGCAAGGUGAAGAACAAACUGGAGCCAGAAAAUGUGAAAGAAGAAAAGAAUGAAAAACCUGAAACUGGAGAGAAAAACUCCACAAAAUUAGUCAAGAAAAGAAAACGCCGUCCCUCUGAGGAUGGUGUGAUACAGGAGGAAGGAGGAGGAAGCAAGACCGACCACGAAGAAGAAGAAAACUAA
This 1098-nucleotide long non-coding RNA is filed under the name Oryzias javanicus (javanese ricefish). Its description in RNAcentral is "lncRNA (ENSOJAG00000002670.1)". Lineage: Eukaryota; Metazoa; Chordata; Actinopteri; Beloniformes; Adrianichthyidae. The record is from RNAcentral.